This 253-nucleotide ribosomal RNA is filed under the name uncultured bacterium. RNAcentral describes it as "partial 16S ribosomal RNA". It matches the Rfam family "Bacterial small subunit ribosomal RNA", at positions 524 to 776 of the family's 1533-position model. The record is from RNAcentral.
UACGAAGGGGGCUAGCGUUGCUCGGAAUUACUGGGCGUAAAGCGCACGUAGGCGGCUUGUUAAGUCGGAGGUGAAAUCCUGGAGCUCAACUCCAGAACUGCCUUCGAUACUGGCGAGCUCGAGUUCGGGAGAGGUGGGUGGAACUGCGAGUGUAGAGGUGAAAUUCGUAGAUAUCGCUUGGAACGCCAAAGGUGAAGACAGGUUGCUGGAGAUAUGCCGACACUGAGACGCGAAAGCCAGGGGAGCAAACGGG